GAUGAACGCUGGCGGCGUGCUUAACACAUGCAAGUCGAACGAAGCACUUUAUUUGAUUUCCUUCGGGACUGAUUAUUUUGUGACUGAGUGGCGGACGGGUGAGUAACGCGUGGGUAACCUGCCUUGUACAGGGGGAUAACAGUUGGAAACGGCUGCUAAUACCGCAUAAGCGCACAGCAUCGCAUGAUGCAGUGUGAAAAACUCCGGUGGUAUAAGAUGGACCUGCGUUGGAUUAGCUAGUUGGUGAGGUAACGGCCCACCAAGGCGACGAUCCAUAGCCGACCUGAGAGGGUGACCGGCCACAUUGGGACGGAGACACGGCCCAAACUCCUACGGGAGGCAGCAGUGGGGAAUAUUGCACAAUGGGCGAAAGCAUGAUGCAGCGACGCCGCGUGAGCGAAGAAGUAUUUCGGUAUGUAAAGCUCUAUCAGCAGGGAAGAUAAUGACGGUACCUGACUAAGAAGCACCGGCUAAAUACGUG
RNAcentral lists this ribosomal RNA (481 nucleotides) under uncultured bacterium. RNAcentral describes it as "partial 16S ribosomal RNA". It matches the Rfam family "Bacterial small subunit ribosomal RNA", at positions 28 to 507 of the family's 1533-position model. The record is from RNAcentral.